UAUGAUCUUGUAAUACCCUGGCUUUACUGUGAAAGAUGCCAAGAAACUUGGGUACCGGGUUUGAGAGAAGUUCAGGAUACUGGCUACUGGCCUGGCACAAUUAACUUCAGCACACUUUAUGAUAUUGAAGUAUUCCUGUCCUUUGAGGAUCUGAAAAUGGCUGCCCCCGGAUUGUCUCGUUUAGCAUUCAUUAGAAUGCUUGACAUGAAGACGGCACACUAUGGCAGGACUGGGAAUCUAUGUGGGGAUGCUUUUUACAAGAGCUUUCUUGAGUGGUCUAUCUGUCGAUAUGAAGUUGACAAGAUCUGUGGCACACAACAUUUCAUGUGUCCCGCUUGCACCCCUCUCAUUCUGGCAGUUGCAGUCGAUGGCAACCGCAAACUUCACCGCUUCAAAACGGGUGGAAAGUAAGUCCUUUAUUUAUUUGUUUACCUUACUUUUAGCAAAUAUAUAUAUUUGAUAAAUUUAUUGAUAUAUACUUGUGAAAAGUUCACCAGUUUAUCUUUAAAAGGGUUUUAAAGGGGUCGUAUGACAUGGCUAAAAGGAAUAUUGCCGUUUGUUUUAUAUGUAAUGCAAUGUGUAUACACAAUUUAAGGUUAAAAAACGCUGUAUUUUCCACAUACCGUGCAUGUUUGUAUCUCCUCUUUGCCCCGCCUCUCUGAAAUGCGCAGAUUAUUUACAAAGCUCAUGGCUCUGAAAAGCGAGGUGGGCUAUGAUUGGCCAGUUAACCAGUGCGUUGGUCGAAUACUGCAAGAGUGUGACAGAAAUGUGACGCCUCUUACCAUAUUUGGAACAUCAGGUUCCAAAGCAAUUGUACUGACAGGCACCUGGCAAAGGUGUCUGUGGAUCUGCAGAGUUUGCAGCUGCUCAAGAGUCUUCGAGAAAGAGCAGCAGUGGAUUAGAUGAGGAGGGAAUUGAGCUGGCUGUCUGCAGGCAAAAGGUUCUUUUGAGAGCACUCAAUAUGUUCAGAGAGAGAUAUAUGCAUAUCCAUUGUAUCUGCAUAAGGAGCUUUGCACUGAAAAUGUCAAAUUUCUGUGCUGACAUAACGUGUAAAUACUGGCCCUACUUGAUCAAAGUGUGCAGUGUCUGCCCUGAACUAAGGAACCUUCUCGACCAAAAGCCAUUCCUCUCAGUCAUGCAUGCUAAAUACAUGGAAUAAAAUGUGAGAUCAAAUGGAGUGGUAGCUAUCAAACUGGUGCUGCCUAUACCAUGGGAGAGGAAGUGGAGCAGGCCAAUGGCUUUUUGUCAAGGAUUGCUAUAAGCACCAAGUUCAUGUCUAAAGCAGUGUGCUGUUCAGCAUACUACUAAUUACUGUAGUUUGCAUUUGAAUAUUAUUACUGCAACUUCUCGGGACAACGAUGUUCCUGUCGAUCCAUUAAUGAACACGACUGAAGAGAUGGCUGUGAGCAUCAAACAACGACGUCAUCAUCUUUACAGACACACCGAGUUUUAAUAAGCGUUUGGUAAAAUGUGAAAAAAUAUGAAUGACCACAAACAAAGGGAGAAAAAAGAUAAGAAAAAUCUAUAUGGAGAAACAAAAGCUGGCUGCUGCAAUUGAACAACGUAAUGCUCUUGUUGACCCUUAGUUAAAGAUUGUGUCCAUAGACGAUGUUCUCGAAAAGGAUUAUGUUUUUCCAUGGCAGUUAUCAAGGCAAGAAGGUGUCCAUCUCUUAACAAAGAAGAAGGUGUUUGACAAGGUCAUGCUAAUUCAGCGACUGGAGGAGGAACAGGUCAUUCUUGUCCAAGAGGCAAAACAACACUGGUCAGCAGCACAAGAUGACCAAUUUGCUUGACACAAUCAAUGCUGGUGGAAACCUUUGGAAUCUUCCAGAACAGGGGAUUCAAGGGCUUCACUCAUAUGUUGCAGAGAAGACUAGACCAGCUUAUAGCUCACCAGGACACUGUAAAAAAGAGCUAUCAAAUGAUAGACAACAUGACACCUUGCAGUACUGUGGAAGAUGAAUACUUUAGCUGUCCAGAAGACCUUCUUUCCAGCAGUACUGAUCAGAGCUCCGAUGAAGAUGAUACAUCUGUUUAUUAGCAAUGUGUGUUUACAUUGUGCAUUGUUACAUUGUGUGUGUGUGUGUGUUCGUGU
Long non-coding RNA from Triplophysa rosa, 2095 nucleotides. RefSeq lists it as uncharacterized. The record is from RefSeq and is a predicted model, not a curated record. The transcript has 9 exons. NCBI's taxonomy places the organism in Eukaryota, Metazoa, Chordata, Actinopteri, Cypriniformes, Nemacheilidae.